GAUGAACGCUGGCGGCGUGCCUAAUACAUGCAAGUCGAGCGAACAGAUGAGGUGCUUGUUCCUAUGACGUUAGCGGCGAACGGGUGAGUAACACGUGGAUAACCUACCUUUAAGCCUGGGAUAACUUCGGGAAACCGGUGCUAAUACCGCAUAAAAUAUUUAACCGCAUGGUUCAAUAGUGAAAGAUGGAAUUGCAGUCCUUUAUAGUUGGCUCCGCGCCGCUUUAGCUAGUUGGUAAGGUAAGGGCCUACCAAGGGAACGUAGCGAAGCGGACCUGAAGGGGUGAUCGGCCACACUGGAACUGGAACACGGUCCAGACUCCUAGGGAGGGCGGCGGUGGGGAAUCUUCCGCAAUGAGCAAAAGCCUGACGGAGCAACGCCGCGUGAGUGAGGAAGGUCUUCGGAUCGUAAAACUCUGUUAUUGGGGAGGAGGAAAUGUGUAAGUGACUAUGCACGUCUUGACGGUACCUAAUCAGAAAGCCACGGCUAACUACGUG
Molecule: ribosomal RNA, 497 nt
Filed under: uncultured bacterium
Lineage: Bacteria
Description: partial 16S ribosomal RNA
Rfam family: Bacterial small subunit ribosomal RNA
Source: RNAcentral